AUAAAACCAGGCUAUUUUUAGUGAUCUGAAUCAAAUAAUUAGGUGAUAACUUUUUGAUCUUGAUGCCGCAACACCACGCAUACACAUGCGACAAAUCUAGUGGUUUCUUCAUACUGGUUAGCGACUGAAAAUUUUAAGGGGUUCUAGACUGACUGUGGGUUGAGCCUGGGAAGAAAGAAGAAUGGUUUUUGGCUUGAUUGGUUUCGAUGCUUGAAGCAAGCUCAGUGCGUGAAAGACAAUAGAUCUGGGGCUAGUGGAUUGGGGACUACGACUGCAACUCUAGCUGGGUUUUAGUCUAGAUCUGCCACCGUGGGGUUGAACUAUGAGAAGAGGCUGGUCCGUGGAUGUUAAGGGCGGAGUGUCUAUGAUGGAGGCUUAACUGGGCAGAUGGUGUUGAAUCGGGUUAUGAGGGCAGGAGACAAUGGCUAUUGGCUUGUUCUGUGGUGAAGGAAUUAAGGGUUUGCAGUGUGGGUUAAAGGUUGCCUUAUCGGAAGAGGAGGUGUGGUGUGAAGCUUUGGUUUUUUGGAUUUUUGGUUGAAGUGGUUGAUGGGAACAAAGAAGACUAAGGUUGGGUUCAGCUUUGAAGAAGAUGGAGAUGAAGGAUAUGGUCUUGUGAUGAGGGUCGUUGCUGUCACAAUGUAAAACGACAAAGGGACAGUGGGUGAGGAAGAGAAAGUUAUGGUUGGCUUUGAUUGGGAUGCUGUCAGUGGUGGUGGCGGCUGAGUUAGGCGGCAAUGGUGACUUCACGGUGAGAAGAUGGUGAUUUUGGUGGCACUGUUAUGGUAGAGGAAUGGACGCAAGACUAUGGUGCUAGCUAGCAGGCAUGGGGAGCUGUGGGUAGCUUAGAUCUUAUUGUAUAUCAAAGGAUGAAUGGUUCUUACGAAGAAGAAACAACAGUGGCUAAGAUUUCUUUUUGCGUAUUUUAUCUCUAUCCUGGGUUUCUUUAGCUAUUAGUUAGUAUCUAUAUUUAUAAUACAAGAGUUCAGAAUACUUAAGAGUUCAAAGUCC
This 1008-nucleotide long non-coding RNA is filed under the name Populus tremula. RNAcentral describes it as "long non-coding RNA (PTRE_LNC002846)". The record is from RNAcentral. Lineage: Eukaryota; Viridiplantae; Streptophyta; Magnoliopsida; Malpighiales; Salicaceae.